AGAGUGGCUCAAUGGUAGAGCAUUGCCUUCCCAAGGCAGUGGUUGCGAGUUCGAAUCUCGUCUCU
RNAcentral lists this transfer RNA (65 nucleotides) under chicken gut metagenome. It matches the Rfam family "tRNA". From Rfam's summary of the family: Transfer RNA (tRNA) molecules are approximately 80 nucleotides in length. Their secondary structure includes four short double-helical elements and three loops (D, anti-codon, and T loops). Further hydrogen bonds mediate the characteristic L-shaped molecular structure. tRNAs have two regions of fundamental functional importance: the anti-codon, which is responsible for specific mRNA codon recognition, and the 3' end, to which the tRNAs corresponding amino acid is attached (by aminoacyl-tRNA synthetases). tRNAs cope with the degeneracy of the genetic code in two manners: having more than one tRNA (with a specific anti-codon) for a particular amino acid; and 'wobble' base-pairing, i.e. permitting non-standard base-pairing at the 3rd anti-codon position. The record is from RNAcentral.